CCUACGGGAGGCAGCAGUGGGGAAUAUUGGGCAAUGGGCGCAAGCCUAACCCAGCAACGCCGCGUGAAGGAAGAAGGCUUUCGGGUUGUAACCUUCUUUUCUGAGGGACGAAGAAAGUGACGGUACCUCAGGAAUAAGCCACGGCUAACUACGUGCCAGCAGCCGCGGUAAUACGUAGGUGGCAAGCGUUAUCCGGAUUUAUUGGGUGUAAAGGGCGUGUAGGCGGGAAAGCACGUCAGAUGUGAAAACUCAGGGCUCAACCCUGGGACUGCAUUUGAAACUGUUUUUCUUGAGUGCUGGAGAGGCAAGCGGAAUUCCGGGUGUAGCGGUGAAAUGCGUAGAUAUACGGAGGAACACCAGUGGCGAAGGCGGAUUGCUGGACAGUAACUGACGCUGAGGCGCGAAAGCGUGGGGAGCAAACAGGAUUAGAUACCCGAGUAGUC
This 443-nucleotide ribosomal RNA is filed under the name uncultured bacterium. RNAcentral describes it as "partial 16S ribosomal RNA". It matches the Rfam family "Bacterial small subunit ribosomal RNA", at positions 338 to 795 of the family's 1533-position model. The record is from RNAcentral.